AGUGAACGCUGGCGGUAGGCCUAACACAUGCAAGUCGAACGGCAGCACAGUACGAGCGUGCUCUUACGGGGGGCGAGUGGCGUGCGGGUGAGGAAUACAUCCGAAUCUACUCUUUCGUGUGGGUUAACGUAGGUAAACUUACUCUAAUACCGCAUACGACCUACGGGUGAAAGCAGUGGAACUUCGCACCUUGCGCGGUUGAAUGCGCCGCUGUCGGGUUUGCUAGUUGGCGGGGUAAUUGCCCACCAAGUCGCCGAUCCGUAGCUGGUGGGGGUGGAGGAUAGGCGGCAUUGGAACUUGGCCACGGUCCAGGCGACUACGGGAGGGAGCAGUGGGGAAUGUUGGACAAUGGGCGGAAGCCUGAUCCAGCCAUACCGCGUGGGUGAAGAAGGCCUUCGGGUUGUAAAGCCCGUUUGUUGGGAAAGAAAAGCAGCAGGUUAAUACCACGCUGUUCUGACGGUAACCAAAGAAUAAGCACCGGCUAACUACGUG
This 492-nucleotide ribosomal RNA is filed under the name uncultured bacterium. RNAcentral's name for it is "partial 16S ribosomal RNA". It matches the Rfam family "Bacterial small subunit ribosomal RNA", at positions 29 to 507 of the family's 1533-position model. The record is from RNAcentral.